Vicia faba (fava bean) is the source of this 321-nucleotide non-coding RNA. The record is from the annotation of a GenBank genome assembly. Lineage: Eukaryota; Viridiplantae; Streptophyta; Magnoliopsida; Fabales; Fabaceae.
AAUCAGGAUAGAAAAAGAAGUGAUCCGACCUGUAUUUUGCAUGGUCGAAUUGUGGUGUUGAGUUGCAAUCUACAUGAUGGUGAACGGUGGUUGCAAACGGUCGGAGACGCAGACUCCAACGGAAAAUUGGAUGCGCGAUUCUGUGUGCGACAGUUGACCAGGCGUUUGCGGAGAACACAGUGUGCAGAGACGAGUGACACGGAGGCGGUGUGCGUUGAAGGGUGCAUUGUAAUUAUAUCGGAGGAGCGUGAUCGGAGUUGGGGUCGCGUGAUGGCGAUGUUGAUUGUGCGGCUAGAGCUGCUGGUGUGUUGCGUGAGUUGA